GUGUUGUCUGUGAAGGGCGCACGGUGGAUGCCUUGGGCAUGAUAAGCCGAUGAAGGACGUGGAAGGCCGCGAUAGUCCUCGGGGAGUUGUCAAUCGAGCGUUGAUCCGAGGGUGUCCGAAUGGGGAAACCUGGCCACAGUUGUGUGUGGUCGCUGCAUGAAUGAAUUCAUAGUUUGUGUGGUGGUAACGCGGGGAAGUGAAACAUCUUAGUACCCGUAGGAGAAGAAAAUAAUAAUGAUUCUGCUAGUAGCGGCGAGCGAACGUGGAUUUUUGGCUAAACUGCAUGCGUGUGAUACCUGGCAGGGG
RNAcentral lists this ribosomal RNA (306 nucleotides) under Corynebacterium sp. HMSC08A12. RNAcentral describes it as "bacterial LSU rRNA". It matches the Rfam family "Bacterial large subunit ribosomal RNA", at positions 1 to 298 of the family's 2925-position model. Lineage: Bacteria; Bacillati; Actinomycetota; Actinomycetes; Mycobacteriales; Corynebacteriaceae. The record is from RNAcentral.